CGAAGACAUAUACAUGGAAAAUGGACGCUUCUUGCUUUCAAAAACAAACACAAAAAGCAAAGAGUUUACCAAUGUACAAGAUUUAUGUUAAAGGAAUUAUACCAAGAUUUCAGUCUUAAAUUUUAGCCUUGGACUUAGUAUCUAAAUUGAAUUAGGAAACCACACUUAAUCUGACUUCAUCUCAUUUUGAUGUGUUGCUUCAGACUUUAACUAAUAUAUUAGGGUUUUGUUUUGUCUUGUUUUCAAUGUAUCCAGUUUGUUCAAAAGACUUCAGCCUAGGUCGGUUACAGGAAAACAAUCAUACCGUCCUAUUGACUAAUUAUGCCCAAAAUAGUUCACAUCAGACACAGUUGUAGGGUAAAAUCAUGUUUCUAGAUUAGGCUCAGAAGCUGGGAUGAGAAGGAGGAACUCAAAGGAAUUUUAUUUUUAGAUGUGAUCAAAUUUAGUAAAGAGAAGGAACAGGCUGCGGUUUCAGAAACAACGGAUAGGGCUCAAGAGGAAGGUCACCAGCAAGUAAGAUACAAGGGUCUGAAACCUCCAGAAUCCAGCGGAUCCCAGGUAAGGAAAUUACAAUGGAAAUCAGAGACAAAAUGGGGAAAAAAGGUAGGGCCAUGAGAUUGAUUCCCACAGAGGGAAUAAAGAAAGAAAGUGUCACUUCUGAGCUGAAGCAGUUAUGCCUUCUCCACCAUCUUUUGCCUCUAUGGUGAUCACAGAAGCCACAUGUUGCAGAUGACCUCAUAUCAAGAAAGUGAUCUGAAUCUCUAAAGCAUUGCUUGAAGAGAAGCUGUCCAGGAAAGCUACAUGACCAGGAACAGAUGCAUGGACUUCAAGUGAGCGAUAAGCAAACUAUCAUGGGAGAAGCCACUGAGACGCUGAGCAUUUCCUCUCAGCAGUCAACAUACCUUAGUGAGUAUUCACAGGAUGAAAAGCUGAAAGUGUGCUAGGGACACAAAUGGAUCGGUAGAUUUCAUAGAAAGAAGACUGGGGUAGCUUCUAAAUGUGUGUUUUUUAAAAUGGCCCAAGUUUAUAAGCUAGGAAGGGGGGAAAGGAGAGUUUGGUAUAGGAUGUUUGAGUAGGAAAGCAGGCAUGUAUUUGUCAUUUUGGCGAAUGAGAAAGUGAACACACUGAGGAGUUUAGUAGACAUGCUGGAUAGCGGCAACAUCCGAUUUGAGAUUUGAGAUCACAAAUGUAAUAUGUCUAACAUUGGUUGAAAGACAUUCUAGUUAAGCAUACAAACAAACACAAGCUUGUUUCAGAACAAAGGUAAAGAAUUCAGACUUCAUCUAAUUACACUUUGAUGAAUAAAAGGAGAUUAUAAGAUAUUUAAAGAGGGAAGAACAGGACAAUUUCAGAUGGAUCAAGCAAGGCUGAACAAGGGACAAUGGCUUUCGCUGCUGUAAAUAGUACUAUGGCACAACAGGAGAAUCAAUGAGGGGAGAAACUGGUGCAGCAGUUUUGAAAUAUCUACAGAAGACUUGACAACAAUACUUGAAUGAGGACAAUAUCUCUGGUUUAUUGAAUGUUGAUCAUGUGCCCAAGAGUACAUUAAGUCGUUACAUAUCAAGAUAUGUAAUCUGUGAGGGAAAUAUUGAUUUUAUGUCCUUAUUUUAAAUGUGAAGAAAAAAGGACCCAUUACAGUGAAGAGAUUUGCCCAGUGGUGCACAAUUAGAAAAUGGCAGAGCGAGAUUCAACUCCACACAAUCAGAUUCCGGAACCAACUGCUUCCCCAAAGCUCUAGUUCCCCCAAAGCUCUAGUUCCCUCCCUACAGAGGGCCUUUGGCUAAGACACCAGGUGCUUACAUUUUUAUUAAGUCACUACUCUGAGGCCCAAGGGAGCUGAGGAAAUUGAGAGCAUGCAAGAGAAAUGGUGCUUCCACUGGUGUUUUCACCAAAUAAAUUAAAAUUUAACCAUAAAAAAAUUAUUAAAAAGCACAAAAGAUGCUGAUAUGCUUAUGAAGUUCCUGCUUAUGAAGUUCCUUUUUUAUAAUAAAGAAAUUAUAUUUAAUCUACGUGGGCUUGCUCUUUAGUCAAAAUACACUUCUGUCUCCUAUUCAGUCAUCCUUCCACUGCUUUAAAGCAAUUUACUUUGUUAUGUCAAUUUUAAUGUAAAAUGAUUUGUUUUAG
This 2124-nucleotide long non-coding RNA is filed under the name Homo sapiens (human). RNAcentral's name for it is "HSALNT0024623". The record is from RNAcentral. Lineage: Eukaryota; Metazoa; Chordata; Mammalia; Primates; Hominidae.